Molecule: small RNA, 495 nt
Filed under: Histoplasma ohiense
Lineage: Eukaryota; Fungi; Ascomycota; Eurotiomycetes; Onygenales; Ajellomycetaceae
Description: hypothetical lncRNA
Source: RNAcentral
GGGCUUCUUUUUGUAUCUCGAUGAACUUCUGGAUUAUACUUAUACCAGAUGGAAAUACUGUUGGCCCUGAUAUUUCUCUUGUGUUCACCUGAUCUCCAUGGAUUCUCCUCUUUAGACGGCUCUACUCCGUAGCGUCAUAUAUCAUCCAUAUUCGACACCAGUCGUCAACUCAACUUAUUAUUCAGUCUGAGCUUCGCGGAUGGAGUCAAGUCAUCCCAACUGGUACCCCGUUCACUACCCUCAGCGCAGGCGCCCACACCCACAAGUAUAUUGCAACGAGUGUCCAUCCUCCGGCACAGUUGUCUUUUCCGCGAUCACCGUCCUUGUGUGGUGUCCCCACUUGUUUUAAUAGAAAGAAGCUCAGCGGCGAAUAAAGCAAAAUGCGAUUGAGUGUAAAAAUGACGACUGGAAUCUCCCUUGAAUUGAACCCAGCGUCUUCGAGCUUCUGGAAGUUACUCUGAUACUUCUUCUUUCGUUGGCCUCCACGAGCCCAGG